AAGACCUCAAAUCAGGUGGGACUACCUGCUGAACUUAAGCAUAUCAAUAAGCAGAGGAAAAGAAACUAACAAGGAUUCCCCUAGUAAUGGCGAAUGAAGAGGGAAAAGCCCAAAUUUGUAAUCUGGCUCUUUCAGAGUCCGAGUUGUAAUUUUAAGAACUGUUUUCAGUGCUGGACCAUGUACAAGUCUUCUGAAAAGAAGCAUCAUAGAAGGUGAUAAUCCUGUUCAUGAUAUGGACUACCAGUGCAAUAUGAUACAGUCUCUAAGAGUCGAGUUGUUUGGGAAUGCAGCUCAAAGUGGGUGGUAAAUUCCAUCUAAGGCUAAAUAUUGAUGAGAGACCGAUAGCAAACAAGUACCGUGAGGGAAAGAUGAAAAGAACUUUGGAAAGAGAGUUAACAGUACGUGAAAUUGUUAAAAGGGAAACAAUUGAAGUUAGACUUGUUAUUAUUAGUUCAACCUUUUUAAAGGGAGUAUUCUAAUGAUUAACAGACCAACAUCAAUUUUUGGGUGUUGGAGAAGGGUUUAAGGAAAUGUAGCAGUUUCUGACUGUGUUAUAUUCCUGAACUUUGAUACAAUGCUUAGGAUUGAGGAAGGCAGUAAGC
Molecule: ribosomal RNA, 602 nt
Filed under: Puccinia sp. R212
Lineage: Eukaryota; Fungi; Basidiomycota; Pucciniomycetes; Pucciniales; Pucciniaceae
Also listed under: 1 other name
Description: eukaryotic LSU rRNA
Rfam family: Eukaryotic large subunit ribosomal RNA
Source: RNAcentral